UUCAGGGGUAAACCUGAGAAACCCGAAAGGUCGAAAGGGGAAAUUCAUUCGCGUCUCGACCGUCGGAGUGGGGCGAUCGAGUGACGGACGGCGUACGCGUCGUCCGCGCCUUUCGUUCUAUUAUUCGGCGUCGAACGCGUGCACUUUUCCCCUAGUAGGACGUCGCGAUCCGUUGGGUGUCGGUCUAAGGCUCGCGGUGGAGCCCGGGCGUACGUCUUCGGGCGUUUGCGCUCGGACCCGCGGUGUCCCGGCCGACCCGCUCGACGGUAUACAGAUGGCGCGGGGCCGCUACUUUAGUUAGCGUUCGGCCCGCGGCAAGCGCGUACGGUGUUGGCGGCGAUCGGACCUACCGCCGAUCCCGUCCCCGGACGACUGUUGGCUGCGGUGUUCUCGAACAGACCCUGGUUUUGAAACGCCGAUCUGCGACGCUAUAGCUUUGGGUACUUUCAUGACCCACGGACCAAGGAGUCUAGCAUGUGCGCGAGUCAUUGGGACAUAACUAAACCUAAAGGCGCAAUGAAAGUGAAGGUUCGCCUCGCGCGAACCGAGGGAGGAUGGGCGGUUCGUACUUCGUGCGGCCGCUCCGCACUCCCGGGGCGUCUCGUUCUCAUCGCGAGAAGAGGCGCACCAAGAGC
This 635-nucleotide ribosomal RNA is filed under the name Anoplophora chinensis. RNAcentral's name for it is "eukaryotic LSU rRNA". The record is from RNAcentral. Lineage: Eukaryota; Metazoa; Arthropoda; Insecta; Coleoptera; Cerambycidae.